Long non-coding RNA from Leopardus geoffroyi (Geoffroy's cat), 2906 nucleotides. RefSeq lists it as uncharacterized. Lineage: Eukaryota; Metazoa; Chordata; Mammalia; Carnivora; Felidae. The transcript has 2 exons. The record is from RefSeq and is a predicted model, not a curated record.
AAAAAUACCCUCUGUUAGACAAUGAAACCUCCUUAGCAUAGGUGUUGUUGUUGUUGUUGUUGAAUAGACUUUAUUUUUUAGAGUGAUUUUAAGUUCACAGAAAAAUUGAGUGGAAAGUGCAGAGAAGAGUUCCAGCAUAUCCUUUAACCCCACACAUGUACAACCUGCCCCACUAUCAACAUCCUGCAUCAGAGUGGUACAUUUUUUACAAAGGAUGAAGCUACAUCAAGGUAUCAUUAUCACCAAAAGUCCAUGGUUUACCUUAGGGUUCACUCUUGGUGUUAUAUAUUUCAUAGGUUUGAACAAAUAUGUAAUGACAUCUAUCCACCAGUAUAGUAUCUCAAAAAUUAUCUGCCCUGCCUCUGCACCCCUCCUUCCUCAACUACUCAACCAUUUAUCUUUUUACUCUCUCCAUAAUUUUGCCUCUUUCAGAAUGUCAUAUAGUUGGAGUCAUACAACAUGUAGCCCUUUUAGGAUGGGAUUCUUUCAUUCAGUAUUAUGCAUUUAAUAUUCCACCAUGUCCUUUUGAUGGCUUGAUAGCUUAUUUCUUUUUAGUGCCUAAUAAUAUUCUGUUGACUGGAUGUGUCACAGUUUGUUUAUCCAUUUACCGACUGAAAUAGAUCUUGCUUAAUUUAUGAAUAAAGCUGCUCUAAACAUCCACGUACACAGUUUUGUAUGAACAUAAGGUUUCAGUCCCUUUGGAUAAAUAUCAAGUGUGACUGCUGGAUUGUAUGCUAAGAGUAUGUUUGAUUUAGUAAGAAACUAUCAGGUUGUCUACCAAAAUGGCUAUACCAUUUUGUAUUCCCACCAGUAAUGCAUGAGCAUUCCUGUUGCUCCAUAUCCUUCCCAGCAUUUGUCCCAGACUGUAGCUGUUAAAAGCCCAUACAACUGCCAAAGUUAAAACGUUCUGAAGUCCACUCAUACCUCUGAAUUUAUAAAGCUCCUCUAAAUUCCCAGUUUUUUGUUUUGAUGUUUUAAUAUUCCUCAACAUCUGUCUGUUGGGAGGUCUUCUGACUUAAGAGCUAUACUCCCUUUCCAAACUACAGAUUUCCCUAGGUCCUCUAGAGGCAGCUGGUCUCCUGUGCAUCCUAUGGCCAGUGAGAGAAUGAUUGGUCUGGGCUGUGUAGGCCUGCUGGCUGCCAAGAGAUCUAAAGGCUACUUAGAGAAUGCUGAUUUAUUCUGCAUAAACUUAACGGUCAAGUGAGUCAUUCCACUUCCCUGAAGGGAAAGUGAAUACAGAGGCAGAGAAGCCAGGAGUUACAUUCAUUGGGUUCCUUCUUCAUGGGAAAAAACUAAAGUAAAGGAGAAGCUUUCUCUGUAAUAGGGUGGCCUCUGUCUUCUUGGGGAAGUAGGAGACAACCUUAUGUCAUAAAAAUAUUUCAGGCAGGGCAAGAUUUGGGGACUUUAGGAAAAUAGAGGUGGUUUAGAGUAGCUGUUGUGGGGAAUGGAAUAAGGACUCAAGAAGAGAUUAAUUAUAAAAAAAAAUUCCUGAGUGUCCCCAAUGGUCUAGAGUUAGAGUCCAAUUAGAUUUAGGAAGCAGUCAAGGUUUAAAUUAAUCCAGGAGCUGAGAUGAAAAACGUGAACAAUGGAAGGGACUAGUACUAACCAGAGUGGGAGAAAACCAAGAUCACUACAGUGACCAGGCUUCACAAAGGACAAGUGAAGCGAAUUAGAAUACUGAUACCACUGGCUAAUGUUCAUCAUGGAUUUAGUGUGUGCCAGAUUUAUGUGGAUUAUCUCAUUUAACCUUCACAGGAAGCCUGUGAGAAAUUUAGGGCAUAAAGGGAUUAAGUAAUUUGUCUCUGGUCACUCGGCUAGGGAAGAGAGGGUCAGGAUUUAAACCUAGACAGACUGACUCUACAAUCUCUAGCCUUAACCAUAGCAGUACUAGAUGAGGAUUGAUGGAAUUUAUGUUACUCUGACGACAAAUACCAGCUUCAGUAGAACGGAAGAAAUGACGAGAUGAGAGGUGAUGGCUGGGGAUGGACAUUUGUUUAAAUUGUGAGAGGUUGAGCAGAUUCAAGAUGCACAGAAGUUCUGUUUUUAGGCUGCUAGACCACAACCACCAUUGGGGUGACAUAAUUUUGCAUUUACUGCAACAUUGGUUUAAAGAACCUGCCAGGGGGUACAUCAAGUGCAUGUGACUGCCGCCUUGCAGUGUUUGCUGCUGCAGGUGGCGGUGGUGUGCUGGAGAAACCAGAACAGAACAUAGAGGCACACAACAUCCUCAGCAAAUGGGAAGUCAGUGUCCUGUUCUUAUGUCAAGUUUUCAGAAAUGACACAUGACAAGCCAAAUAUUUAGAAUUUUGAAACUGUGUAUGAUCAGAUGCACAAUGAUCUCCUUAGGAAGGACAGAGUAGCAUUUUACAUAUGUUGGACAGAAGUAAGAGAAUCAAGUCCUGGCCAGAAAGUCUCCAGAACUGUAAAGAUCUGUUUGAUCUGAUCCUCACCUGGGAAGAAAGAGUGACCAACCCACCAGAUGGUUGAAGAUCUGAAUUCCAGAGAGCAGGAGACCUGCUAGCCAGUGUGCAAUGUGGACAUCCAGGGCAGCCAUGGAGAGGCCACCCUGGGGCGUUCUUCAUCUGUGAACUAUGCCGGUGCAUUCAGCACAUGGAAAACAUGAAGAAUUAGACUGAUGAGCUGUUGCAGGAGUUGGAGAAGAGCCACAGGGCUUUCGUGAACGUAGUCUGCUUCGACUGACCUGCCUGGCCUGGUGCCCAGUGGGCUGCGCACCCUUUUGAACCCAUCUUCUUGAGCUUCCUCUUGUUAAUGCUUUUUCCUUUCUGAUAUUUGUGUUUGCUUUUAGGUAUUCUGCCAGUGGAUAGUAGUAGUACCCAAAUAAACUGUACAUAUGAAAUGAGAAGAUAGACACAAAUGCCACAUUAAAAACAAUCAAGUUUUUUCUA